UUUAAUUGAUCUAUAGCAACAUCAAUAUGCAUGUCUUCAGAUUGUAAAAUUCUUACUAACUGAGUUAACAGCAAACAAUAUAUCGUACCAAAUAUUCAUGCCUAAUAAGAAUUCAAAAUUUUCAAUCUCAUAUGUAGCUAAGCAUAUGGCUUCACUCUUUAUUUUAGGAUCUUCACUAGUUUCCGCUAAUUGAAUUAAGGCAUCUCUUAUUUUAGGAGCUUGAUGUUUAAUUGCUUUGAUACUUUCAAUACGAUUUUCCCAACGCGUUUGUGAUAAAGGUUUAAGAGUUAAUGUAGAUACAUUAUCUUGUAAAAUUUUCCAUCGUUUUGUAGAAGAAGAAAAUAAGGUAUAAAUUCGUUG
RNAcentral lists this long non-coding RNA (360 nucleotides) under Phoenix dactylifera (date palm). Its description in RNAcentral is "long non-coding RNA (PDAC_LNC021578)". Lineage: Eukaryota; Viridiplantae; Streptophyta; Magnoliopsida; Arecales; Arecaceae. The record is from RNAcentral.